RNAcentral lists this ribosomal RNA (492 nucleotides) under uncultured bacterium. RNAcentral's name for it is "partial 16S ribosomal RNA". It matches the Rfam family "Bacterial small subunit ribosomal RNA", at positions 29 to 507 of the family's 1533-position model. The record is from RNAcentral.
AGUGAACGCUGGCGGUAGGCCUAACACAUGCAAGUCGAACGGCAGCACAGUAAGAGCUUGCUCUUACGGGUGGCGAGUGGCGGACGGGUGAGGAAUACAUCGGAAUCUACUUUUUCGUGGGGGAUAACGUAGGGAAACUUACGCUAAUACCGCAUACGACCUACGGGUGAAAGCAGGGGAUCUUCGGACCUUGCGCGAUUGAAUGAGCCGAUGUCGGAUUAGCUAGUUGGCGGGGUAAAGGCCCACCACGGCGACGAUCCGUAGCUGGUCUGAGAGGAUGAUCAGCCACACUGGAACUGAGACACGGUCCAGACUCCUACGGGAGGCAGCAGUGGGGAAUAUUGGACAAUGGGCGCAAGCCUGAUCCAGCCAUACCGCGUGGGUGAAGAAGGCCUUCGGGUUGUAAAGCCAUUUUGUUGGGAAAGAAAAGCAGCAGGUUAAUACCCCGCUGUUCUGACGGUACCCAAAGAAUAAGCACCGGCUAACUUCGUG